CGGAGGUGCGAGCGUUAAUCGGAAUAACUGGGCGUAAAGGGCACGCAGGCGGCUAUUAAGUGAGGUGUGAAAUCCCCGGCGUUAACCUGGGAAUUGCAUUUCUAGACUGGGUAGCUAGAGUACUUUAGGGAGGGUAGGAAUUCCACGUGUAGCGGUGAAAUGCGUAGAGAUGUGGAGGAAUACCGAAGGCGAAGGCAGCCCCUUGGGAAUGUACUGACGCUCAUGUGCGAAAGCGUGGGGAGCAAACAGGAUU
This 253-nucleotide ribosomal RNA is filed under the name uncultured bacterium. Its description in RNAcentral is "partial 16S ribosomal RNA". It matches the Rfam family "Bacterial small subunit ribosomal RNA", at positions 527 to 779 of the family's 1533-position model. The record is from RNAcentral.